This 254-nucleotide ribosomal RNA is filed under the name uncultured bacterium. RNAcentral describes it as "partial 16S ribosomal RNA". It matches the Rfam family "Bacterial small subunit ribosomal RNA", at positions 524 to 777 of the family's 1533-position model. The record is from RNAcentral.
UACGUAGGGUGCGAGCGUUGCCCGGAUUUAUUGGGCGUAAAGGGCGCGUAGGCGGUCGCGCACGUCCGUUGUGAAAUCGCUCGGCUCAACUGGGCGGGGUCAGCGGAUACGGCGUGGCUGGAGCAAGCUAGGGGGCAAUGGAAUUCCCGGUGUAGUGGUGGAAUGCGUAGAUAUCGGGAGGAACACCAGUGGCGAAGGCGGUUGCCUGGAGCUUUGCUGACGCUGAUGCGCGAAAGCGUGGGGAGCGAGUCCGG